This 448-nucleotide ribosomal RNA is filed under the name uncultured bacterium. Its description in RNAcentral is "bacterial SSU rRNA". It matches the Rfam family "Bacterial small subunit ribosomal RNA", at positions 28 to 507 of the family's 1533-position model. The record is from RNAcentral.
GAUGAACGCUAGCGGCAGGCUUAAUACAUGCAAGUCAAGGGGUCAGCAAUGGCACCGGCGGACGGGUGAGUAACGCGUACACAACGUACCUUUAACUGGGGGAUAGCAUCUGGAAACGGGUGGUAAUACCGCAUGUGGUUGCGAGGAGGCAUCUCUUUGUAACUAAAACUUAGGUGGUUAGAGAUCGGUGUGCGUCUGAUUAGCUAGUUGGUAGGGUAGAGGCCUACCAAGGCGACGAUCAGUAGGGGGCGUGAGAGCGUGAACCCCCACACGGGUACUGAGACACGGACCCGACUCCUACGGGAGGCAGCAGUAAGGAAUAUUGGUCAAUGGAGGGAACUCUGAACCAGCCAUGCCGCGUGAAGGAAGAAGGCCCUAGGGUUGUAAACUGCUUUUAUACGUGAAGAAUAUGACGGUAACGUAUGAAUAAGGAUCGGCUAACUCCGUG